UACAGAGGUCUCAACCGUUGUUCGGAUUCAUUGGGCGUAAAGGGUGCGUAGGCGGCGCGGUAAGUCGGAUGUGAAAUCUCGGAGCUUAACUUCGAAACUGCAUUCGAUACUGCCGUGCUUGAGGACUGGAGAGGAGACUGGAAUUUACGGUGUAGCGGUGAAAUGCGUAGAUAUCGUAAGGAAGACCAGUGGCGAAGGCGGGUCUCUGGACAGUUCCUGACGCUGAGGCACGAAGGCCAGGGGAGCAAACGGG
This 253-nucleotide ribosomal RNA is filed under the name uncultured bacterium. RNAcentral describes it as "partial 16S ribosomal RNA". It matches the Rfam family "Bacterial small subunit ribosomal RNA", at positions 524 to 776 of the family's 1533-position model. The record is from RNAcentral.